AUUGAACGCUGGCGGAAUGCUUUACACAUGCAAGUCGAACGGCAGCACGGGGGCAACCCUGGUGGCGAGUGGCGAACGGGUGAGUAAUACAUCGGAACGUGCCCAGUCGUGGGGGAUAACGUAGCGAAAGUUACGCUAAUACCGCAUACGAUCUACGGAUGAAAGCGGGGGACCGUAAGGCCUCGCGCGAUUGGAGCGGCCGAUGUCAGAUUAGGUAGUUGGUGAGGUAAAGGCUCACCAAGCCGACGAUCUGUAGCUGGUCUGAGAGGACGACCAGCCACACUGGGACUGAGACACGUCCCAGACUCCUACGGGAGGCAGCAGUGGGGAACUUUGGACAAUGGGCGCAAGCCUGAUCCAGCCAUUCCGCGUGCAGGACGAAGGCCUUCGGGUUGUAAACUGCUUUUGUACGGAACGAAAAGGCUCUGGUUAAUACCUGGGGCUCAUGACGGUACCGUAAGAAUAAGCACCGGCUAACUACGUUACAGCCGCCGCAGUAA
RNAcentral lists this ribosomal RNA (500 nucleotides) under uncultured bacterium. RNAcentral describes it as "partial 16S ribosomal RNA". It matches the Rfam family "Bacterial small subunit ribosomal RNA", at positions 30 to 523 of the family's 1533-position model. The record is from RNAcentral.